RNAcentral lists this ribosomal RNA (486 nucleotides) under uncultured bacterium. RNAcentral's name for it is "bacterial SSU rRNA". It matches the Rfam family "Bacterial small subunit ribosomal RNA", at positions 47 to 507 of the family's 1533-position model. The record is from RNAcentral.
CCUAACACAUGCAAGUCGAGCGGUAACAGAAAGAAAGCUUGCUUUCUUUGCUGACGAGCGGCGACGGGUGAGUAAUGCCUGGGAAUAUGCCUUAGUGUGGGGGAUAACUAUUGGAAACGAUAGCUAAUACCGCAUAACGUCCUUGUUCAUUACGAGCGGGACCAAAGAGGGGGACCUUCGGGCCUCUCGCGCUAAGAUUAGCCCAGGUGGGAUUAGCUAGUUGGUGAGGUAAAGGCUCACCAAGGCAACGAUCCCUAGCUGGUCUGAGAGGAUGAUCAGCCACACUGGAACUGAGACACGGUCCAGACUCCUACGGGAGGCAGCAGUGGGGAAUAUUGCACAAUGGGGGAAACCCUGAUGCAGCCAUGCCGCGUGUAUGAAGAAGGCCUUCGGGUUGUAAAGUACUUUCAGUCGUGAGGAAGGCAUUGUAGUUAAUAGCUGCAGUGCUUGACGUUAGCGACAGAAGAAGCACCGGCUAACUCCGUG